Molecule: small RNA, 1291 nt
Filed under: Arabidopsis thaliana (thale cress)
Lineage: Eukaryota; Viridiplantae; Streptophyta; Magnoliopsida; Brassicales; Brassicaceae
Description: ATSL200270
Source: RNAcentral
GCGGAAAUGUCUGGGCUCAAAUUCCAGUUGAUCAGAAAGCAAUAGGCAUUAAGAACAAUUAAUCCAGAAGGGAUCUAUCAACCAAUACUCAAUCACCUAGCAUACUGAGAAUUCUACACUACUCUAACCCAUCCUCAGAAACCUAUUCACUACUCAGACAUCAUAACAGAAAGCAUAAACGUUGAACAAAUUGAAAACAUGAUAACAACAAUGUAACAGCAGGAUGAUAACAGAAUGAACAACAGUAAACGAAAUCAAGAACAGGAACUGAAUACUGAAUACUGAAUAGAUAAAGAGAAAUCCGGAUUACAAAAAGUCUAGAACACAAGGUCUGCGGAAAUAAAAUUAGAUAAAAAACUUCUUGUCUGCGAAAAUGAGAAGUACAUGCUACUUAUAGCCAAAUAUCCCGAAAACCCUAAUACUCAAAACAACGAAGUAUUGGGACAGGUUAAGAACUGUACUCGACCCACGUGGUCGAGUGAGAGGUCGAGUGAAUAGCUGGAGCCUUCUUGUUUUCCUUGUGCUCGUGUGUCUGGUUGAGUGCGGAAUGAAGAAGGAUCUGAAGCUUGUCACCGAGUAUGCAGUCGAGUGGUGUCAGAAGAUACUCGACUUCCAGGUUGAGUGACGAGGUCGAGUGGUGGUCUGAUGAUAGAGGUGAAGACACUCGACCUCAUGGUCGAGUGAAGUGAUCGAGUGAUGGUCUGGUGAUGGAGAUGAGGGCACUCGACCUCGGGGUCGAGUGGUGAAGUGAAGUGGUGAUGUCCUCUACUCGACCUGGUGGUCGAGUGGUCUCUUGAGAUCUUGAAGCUCCUACUCGACCUCUGGGUCGAGUGGUUUGGCAUGAUCAGGUCCGCUUCUUCCAGAUAGCUCGUCAACAGCUCCAAAUCACCUGAAAUCAACGCAAAUAUGUAACAUGCAUGCAAAACUAUCCUAAACAUGCAAAGUGAUGACAAAUGAUGUGAAAUGGUAUAAAACAGUGAUGAUAUGAUGAUAAAGUGAUGACAAAUGGAUGCUCAAAACAUGCAAAAUACACACUUAUCAACUCCCCCAAACUUAGUCUUUGCUUGCCCUCAAGCAAACAAUCAAGAACAAGCUGGAGGUGAGGUUUGAAAGCGGGGACUCAGAGCCAAAGCACCAGAUAGACCAGAUGAAAUCAAUGUCCAAGUUGAAAGUUCUAAGCUGCAAGAUCGAAUUCUACUUAAAAACGUUAGCCAUGCCUCAUCAAUCAAUCAAUCCGACUCAUAUGCUCGACCUACACAAGUUUUCAAAUCUACCAAUCCCUUUAACAUUG